GCCCGCCGCCGGAGAGCAGCCCCGGCACGGCCCGGCCCGGCCCGGGCGCUGGGUGCCCUCACACACAGCCCGGCCCUGGGGCGGCAGCGCCCUCCGACACUCUCACAGAGCUUUAAAAGGCGAUUCUGCAUCGCYGCAGCGGCUGGGAGCUCCGGCAGCGGGGCUGCAGGGACAGGGGCAGAUGCUGUCAGACUUGGAGUUAAAGUUCAUUYCUGAUCGAACAGGAUUACGUCCUGCCGCUUGCCACAGGCGAUUCAGCCUUGACUUGGUCUAGUCUUAAUACUGAGGUAAUUGCUGUAAUACUUGCCAAUGACAGAGCACUCUCUGUCCCCAGGUGYUGUACACGUGGGCAUCCCGUUGCCCAUAGGUAUUGCUGCCCUUACUCCUCCUUCAUGCGAGUAAACCUAUUACCGUGCGUGAGGCUUCUUGUGCAGUCAGACCUACAGUAACGAAGCCUCAUGCCGCUGUCUCUCUGAAAUGAACUUGAACUCCUUUUGGAUCUGCAAGUGUCAGCUCCUAAGUGGACCUGGCUGAAAGUUGGGAGCCCACGUGGAACAGUGAGCCUCUCCUGCCUGCUGUGUUUACAGGGAUCUUAACAGUAGUCACGUGAGGUAUUAAACAAGUCUCCCACCUCAGCAUUAUUAAAAUAGGAUGAACAGAUUGCUCAACAACUGCACAAAACUGUUUGGGAAAAGUGCCUCAGGCAGAAGACAGCAUGUGGGAGAAGUGCAAGUGGCUACAAGGAAGAAAAAAAAUCUUCUGGCACUGCCUUAAAUGCAAACACUGAACCUUUGUUGCAUGUGGAGGAAAACCUGCAGGCAAAAUUGGUAAGCAGCAGAAACAAAAUAGCUGUUUCCAAAGCCAGGCAUGAACACCCCAGUACUGUGUGUUUUGACAYGUCACAGAAUCACAGAAUCACAGAAUGGAUUGGAUUGGAAGGAGUCUUUGAAGGUCAUCUACUCCAACCCCCCAGCAGCGAGCAGGGACAGCUUCAACCAGAUCAGGUUGURCACUGCCCUGUCCAACCUGACAUUGAAUGUUUCCAGGGUAGCAUCCACCACCUCUCUGGGCAAUCCUUUCCAGUGUUCUACAACCCUCAUAAAAAUGUCUUCCUUGAAUUUAGUCUGACCUAUCCUCUUUUAGUUUAAGACCUUUAUCCCUUGUCCUAUUGCUACAGGUCCUAUUAAAAGUCUGUUCCCAGCCAUGAUCAUGUGCCAGCACUGAUAUUUUCCAGUGAGGAACGUGGUGUUUAUGUGCCAURUGAGGAAUGAUUUAGGGCAUAUGUUACACAGACAGGUAUUUGUCUCAAGACAUAAUUACUUUCUGUGUAAUAAUACCAAGGAGGCCUGUAGUGCUGGUACCAUUCUUAGCCUGCUUCAGUAGGUUGUGACAUUUCUUUUAGCACUCUUUUCCAAACCUGAAUCAAUUCCUUUCCAAAUGAAUUAUUGUUGUCUACUCCCAGAGUCAAUAGGUUACUUGCUGGGAUGCUGGCCKGAUCCAAU
Molecule: long non-coding RNA, 1502 nt
Organism: Malurus melanocephalus (red-backed fairy wren)
Lineage: Eukaryota; Metazoa; Chordata; Aves; Passeriformes; Maluridae
Exons: 3
Source: RefSeq, a predicted model, not a curated record